This 201-nucleotide unclassified non-coding RNA is filed under the name Hevea brasiliensis (rubber tree). The record is from RNAcentral. Lineage: Eukaryota; Viridiplantae; Streptophyta; Magnoliopsida; Malpighiales; Euphorbiaceae.
AAAUGAACUAAACAUGGUUGAUACGCUUGGACAUGCUGAUUUUCGUGGUGAAGUAUAUGACCUACCUUGGAUUAUUUUUUAUUGUUAUUCAUGUUAAUAUUGUGCAGGAUCCAUCUUUUAUGCCAUUAUAAAUCAUAAUCUAGCUCUUUUCCAUGUUCUAGUUUUCCAUUAAGGCAUUUCUAGCUUUUACACGGAAUAGAA